CUCAGCUCCUGGGGCUCCUGGUGCUCUGGCUGCCAGGUGCCAGAUGUGACAUCCAGAUGACCCAGUCUCCAUCCUCCCUGUCUGCAUCUGUAGGAGACAGAGUCACCAUCACUUGCCGGGCGAGUCAGGAGAUCG
Long non-coding RNA from Homo sapiens (human), 135 nucleotides. RefSeq lists it as uncharacterized. Lineage: Eukaryota; Metazoa; Chordata; Mammalia; Primates; Hominidae. The record is from RefSeq and is a predicted model, not a curated record. The transcript is spliced from 3 exons.